This is a non-coding RNA of Aedes aegypti (yellow fever mosquito), 117 nucleotides long. NCBI's taxonomy places the organism in Eukaryota, Metazoa, Arthropoda, Insecta, Diptera, Culicidae. The record is from Rfam.
UGCCCAGCAACUCCUAUCCCUACCUCCUCGUGGUACUGGCCGGGGUACGAGUAACCUUGGGGAAGAUCGGGUAACCAACCCCCGGUGGUAACUUUGGUCGUAUGCUGACAGGGAAGG